Molecule: ribosomal RNA, 458 nt
Filed under: uncultured bacterium
Lineage: Bacteria
Description: bacterial SSU rRNA
Rfam family: Bacterial small subunit ribosomal RNA
Source: RNAcentral
UACGGAAGGCAGCAGUGGGGAAUAUUGCACAAUGGGCGCAAGCCUGAUGCAGCCAUGCCGCGUGUAUGAAGAAGGCCUUCGGGUUGUAAAGUACUUUCAGCGGGGAGGAAGGCGAUGCGGUUAAUAACCGCGUCGAUUGACGUUACCCGCAGAAGAAGCACCGGCUAACUCCGUGCCAGCAGCCGCGGUAAUACGGAGGGUGCAAGCGUUAAUCGGAAUUACUGGGCGUAAAGCGCACGCAGGCGGUCUGUUAAGUCAGAUGUGAAAUCCCUGGGCUUAACCUGGGAACUGCAUUUUGAAACUGGCAGGCUUGAGUCUUGUAGAGGGGGUAGAAUUCCAGGUGUAGCGGUGAAAUGCGUAGAGAUCUGGAGGAAUACCGGUGGCGAAGGCGGGCCCCUGGGACAAAGACUGACGCUCAGGGUGCGAAAGCGUGGGGAGCGAAACAGGGAUUAGGAUAA